RNAcentral lists this unclassified non-coding RNA (395 nucleotides) under soil metagenome. Its description in RNAcentral is "partial contains 5.8S ribosomal RNA, internal transcribed spacer 2, and large subunit ribosomal RNA". The stretch from base 1 to 122 matches the Rfam family "5.8S ribosomal RNA", at positions 35 to 154 of the family's 154-position model. The record is from RNAcentral.
GAUGAAGAACGUAGCGAAAUGCGAUACUUGGUGUGAAUUGCAGAAUCCCGUGAACCAUCGAGUCUUUGAACGCAAGUUGCGCCCGAAGCCAUCAGGUUGAGGGCACGUCUGCCUGGGCGUCACAUAUCGUUGCCCAAUGCCUAUUGCAGUGCAAUAGGAAUUUCUAGGGCGAAUGAUGGCUUCCCGUGAGCGUUGUUGCCUCGCGGUUGGUUGAAAAUCGAGUCCUUGGUAGGGUGUGCCAUGGUAGAUGGUGGUCGAGUUAGUACGAUACCGAUCAUGUGCAUGCUCCCCAAAAUAUGGCCUCUAUGACCCACACGCGUCUUUUGACGCUCAUGACGAGACCUCAGGUCAGGCGGGGCUACCCGCUGAAUUUAAGCAUAUCAAUAAGCGGAGGA